UACGGGGGGGGCAAGCGUUGUUCGGAAUUACUGGGCGUAAAGGGCUCGUAGGCGGCCAACUAAGUCGGAUGUGAAAUCCCCAGGCUCAACCUGGGAACUGCAUCCGAUACUGGAUGGCUUGAAUUCGGGAGAGGGAUGCAGAAUUCCAGGUGUAGCGGUGAAAUGCGUAGAUAUCUGGAGGAACACCGGUGGCGAAGGCGGCAUCCUGGACCGGUAUUGACGCUGAGGCGCGAAAGCCAGGGGAGCAAACGGG
RNAcentral lists this ribosomal RNA (253 nucleotides) under uncultured bacterium. Its description in RNAcentral is "partial 16S ribosomal RNA". It matches the Rfam family "Bacterial small subunit ribosomal RNA", at positions 524 to 776 of the family's 1533-position model. The record is from RNAcentral.